Rhododendron vialii is the source of this 1828-nucleotide long non-coding RNA. RefSeq lists it as uncharacterized. NCBI's taxonomy places the organism in Eukaryota, Viridiplantae, Streptophyta, Magnoliopsida, Ericales, Ericaceae. The transcript has 3 exons. The record is from RefSeq and is a predicted model, not a curated record.
AGGAGUUUUUCGGAGGUAUUUUUCCAAUUUGGGGCGAAUUUGCCCCUCAAUUGCAAACAGUACCCACUUGAGGGGCUGGGUUUUUCGUCUUUUCGAUUUGGUUGGGAAUGGGUGGAUAUCAUUAGUCCACGUACCCCCUCUCACCCCUCGCCCCCCUCCCCUCCUCUCUUUGGUCUGUUGGGUACAGGUGGAGGCAUCUGUGGAGAGAGAGAGAGAGAGAGAGAGAGAGGAGUUCUUGGGCGAUUUUCACUUUCUCCACAGGUGACGUUAUUCAAGCCCAAAUCGUAGGUACUGGGCCCCCACCCACCGUGCGCCGGCGGAAGUAGACAUUUGUGGAAGGUUCGUGCACCCACCCACCGUGGGCCGGCGGAAGUAGACACUGGUGGAAGGUUCAUGCACGUUCCCAUCUCUCUGUCUUCUAUUUUCCAACCCAAAAGAAUUGAUUGUUCAGGUGCGGUGGUGUGAUUUCCGGCACCGACCCAUCCCUCAGAUUGCCAAUUAAUCUGCUUCACCAUCGUUAUCGACUGAUACAGGUCAAUAUCAAACCCGUCAAUUCGUGUGCCUUGCGUUGAACUUGUGGUUGGUUGGGUAGGAUUUUGUUUGGCCAUGUGGGUCCGUGCUGUGGGUUUUGGGGUUUUGGGGGAAAAUAGUUUCGCUGCUUUUGCUGGCCCGUUGUGUUCUGUGGUUUUGGCGAUUUGGGUUUUGUGGGUUUUUCUGCUGCGGUUAGAAGGAAAAUACUUUCGCGUCUUUUGCUUGUUGGGCUUCGUUUGUUUUUUUUCUUUUGGUGGCUAUGGAAAACUUGGAGAUCGUUGUUUGUUUCUUCGUGUGUAAAGUAUUCCGUGUCCCCAAUUGAAAAAAUCAUUUCACGUUUUGGGAGUUUGUAUUACCUGGUUUCUUGUUCUUUGUCCUCUGUGAUGGUGUUCGUCUUUGCAGGAUGGUGCUGCAUGUGCCGUUCCUGCGUUGGGAUAGUGUUGGGAAUCCAUGUGCUUCGUCUUGUCUAAAAAAUAGAAUAAUUAAAAUUGGUAUUAAUGGCACUCAAUAUUACUAGAAAAAAUCUGUAUUGUGUAGUUAUCAUAAAUUGUUGACAUUGCCUAUGACAGAAACAUUAGUGGAACCCUCAUCAUCUUACAGCACCCAAAUGAAGACAAAUGGAGUUGUUUCCAUCUAGCUGAACCACCAUAGCCACAGGUUACAUUGACGAAUUUUGCUGAUGUUUAUGGCCAUAGACAUUUUAUUGCCGGAGGGUUGUCGCCAAUUUUCCAAUGGCAUGGGUGGGAGUAUCUGGAUUAUGCUGAGGCAUGGAUCAAAAGCUUGGCCUGUAGAAGUUGCAAAUGAAUUGUUGCCUGAUGGUUGGAGUAAUUUCCGUAGGGUUCGCUAGGCAUGACGAACCACUGUAGUUGUCGCUUCCUCCCUCUCUCUCUCCGCCUCCAAAGCUACCGCAUUACCGUCUUCUUUGUUUGCUCCGGCGAAGGUAAGCCCAAUUAGCGCCUCCAGCAAAGAUUGUCAUCGUCAAAAAUCAUGAUAGUCACUGGUUCGGCGAUCUAUUGCAGCUGCUUGGCUUCGGAUUAGAUGAUAAAACUUCUCGGUGCUUAUAUUCUUGACUACCUUUCUUCAGGUAUCUUUUCUCUUCUUUUGCAUUUUUUCCAUAUUACAUUGUAGUUGGAGAUACAAUUUGGUUUGUGAUUCUAGAUUUUAUUUUCCUGGUGUGGAACAUGUAAUUUGGAAACACAUUGUUCGUCUAUCUUUUAUUGAUAGUUGUGUCAUCGUCGAAAAUAUUUGUUACGAGAAAUAUUGAAUGCCUCUUCAGCUUUUUUCCUUCUUCCUCAAA